AACGUAGGAGCCAAGCGUUAUCCGAAUUUACUGGGCGUAAAGCGCGUGCAGGCGGCCUGGCGAGUGGAUUGUGAAAUCUCCCGGCUCAACUGGGAGGGGACGGUCCAAACUGCCGGGCUGGAGGCAGGUAGAGGGAGGUGGAAUUCCCGGUGUAGUGGUGAAAUGCGUAGAGAUCGGGAGGAACACCCGUGGCGAAAGCGGCCUCCUGGACCUGACCUGACGCUCAGACGCGAAAGCUAGGGGAGCGAACGGG
Molecule: ribosomal RNA, 253 nt
Filed under: uncultured bacterium
Lineage: Bacteria
Description: partial 16S ribosomal RNA
Rfam family: Bacterial small subunit ribosomal RNA
Source: RNAcentral